This 97-nucleotide microRNA precursor is filed under the name Oryctolagus cuniculus (rabbit). RNAcentral describes it as "mir-544 microRNA precursor family". It matches the Rfam family "mir-544 microRNA precursor family". Lineage: Eukaryota; Metazoa; Chordata; Mammalia; Lagomorpha; Leporidae. The record is from Rfam by way of RNAcentral.
ACUGCCCAGGAAUCUUGUUAAAAUGCAGAUUCUGAUUCAGCAGGUCUGGCUUCGGGCCAAGAUUCUGCAUUUCUAACAAGCUCCCAGGUGAUUAGAA